This 705-nucleotide long non-coding RNA is filed under the name Lathyrus oleraceus (garden pea). RNAcentral's name for it is "Pisum sativum (pea) long non-coding RNA (PSAT_LNC024155)". Lineage: Eukaryota; Viridiplantae; Streptophyta; Magnoliopsida; Fabales; Fabaceae. The record is from RNAcentral.
UCUUGACUAAAGUCUUGUGGUGUGAUGUGAAAAAUUUGCUGUGCAUUUUUAGUAUGAUAGGUAGGACUAGACUCUAAAUUGUAUAUCUUUAAAAGUAGAUCAUUAAUCCUGGUGAGCUUUGAGCCUUAUAUGGAUAACAUACAAAAACCCAUCUCUUUCUUUCUUGUGUGAUUCACUCAUGUUUGUUAGUCUCUAGAACUUGAAUUGACUCUUGUUGAUGUUAUUGUUUACUUGUGCACACUGAUAUGAUAAAGGCAACUUUGUUUUUGUUUUUGUUUUUUUGUUUUUUUAGCCAGUUAGCCAAAAAGCCAACCCUAAAAUAAUUUUAUCCCUUGUUUGAAACCCCCUUGAGCCUAUUAUCUCUUUUUUGUUUAAAACUCAUUACAAGUCGAGAAGUGAAAAAUAAUAUUAUCACCCUAUUCAAAGGGUUGAAAGAGUCUUGUUUGGAGUUGUGUGGGGUUGAAUAAUUAUGUUUGUAAUAUUUCAGAAGAUGGCAGAAAAAGAAAAUAGAAAAGAAAAAAAAAGGAAUGAAAAAAUAGAAGGACAAGAGGAAGAAAAAAUAGAAGGAUAAGAGGAAGAAAAAAAGGAAUUAUGUUUGUAAUAUUUCAAUACAUGUCAAUACAUACUCCUUCGAAAAAAAUGAAUAAAAAGAGGAAGGAGAAGAGAAAACAAUUGCUAUAAAGUUGUUCAAGUGAAUGAAAUAUU